CUAUUUCGAAUAGUUCAAGGACAUUUUUUGUCCUUUUCCGAAAAAUAAAUAUUGCCACUAUUAGAACGAGAAAAUAGAUGCACUUCUAAGCUCCAAAAUUCAUGUGAAACUGACGACCCAAAAACAUAGCUCCAAAAUCCAUCUUCAUAAAACCAGCUGAAAAUCACCUUCAAACAGUCAUGUAAACUCCACCAGUAGCCAGUUUCCUUUAGUAGCUUCAGGGCAAAAUUCCAUCUAAAACUAGUUACUCGAAGCAGCAACACCGCUAGGAAACCACCAUACGUGAACCACUUUCUUUCAUAAACCAGACCGACAAGAGCAGAAACAAUAGUGAGCAUCAACUCGACUCGGGAUUAAUAACCCAUUUUCACUGCAAUCGUUCAUAAGCCAGCCAUAAUAGGGGAAACAAUUGAGUACUUCAGCGGUUACUUUAUUCGUGUUGAGGUUUUCUCUUUCCGUGACAAGGAUCCCGUUCGUCGCUCCGGUUCCUAUUGCUCUGGUUUUUGUUUAAAGUUCCGGGUCAAUGGUUGCUUCCAUAUUAGAAAGGAGUAUUGCACUUAAGGUGCAUUUCUCCUUGCUUACUCGUCCUUCUUUUCACCCAGUUUAAUUAACUCUUGUGAAUGCUCUGCUGAUUAAUUUAUUUCCUUGGUUGAGAUAAUUUUUGUACUUCUGCCAUAUUGAUUUCUUUCUUUGAGUUUGAAUAUUAUCCCAAAUUUGAUAUUCUCAUAUAAAAUUGAAAAACAUGAAUUAGAUAUUUGGAAUAUGCACUACUAAAUUAACUCCCGGUGAA
RNAcentral lists this long non-coding RNA (790 nucleotides) under Nicotiana benthamiana. RNAcentral's name for it is "long non-coding RNA (NBEN_LNC023075)". The record is from RNAcentral. Lineage: Eukaryota; Viridiplantae; Streptophyta; Magnoliopsida; Solanales; Solanaceae.